AGAAGCAGCCAUCAUUUAAAGAAAGCGUAAUAGCUCACUGGUCGAGUCGGCCUGCGCGGAAGAUGUAACGGGGCUAAACCAUGCACCGAAGCUGCGGCAGCGAACGUAUCACUUAAAGCGAUUCAGCGGAUGACGAUUGACGGAGCGAAGCGACGUCAAAGCGUAUACAAAGUCGAGUCGGUUUAAGGAUACGUUCGUUGGGUAGGGGAGCGUUCUGUAAGCCUGCGAAGGUGGCCUGUGAGGGUUGCUGGAGGUAUCAGAAGUGCGAAUGCUGACAUAAGUAACGAUAAAGCGGGUGAAAAGCCCGCUCGCCGGAAGACCAAGGGUUC
Molecule: ribosomal RNA, 329 nt
Filed under: Salmonella enterica
Lineage: Bacteria; Pseudomonadati; Pseudomonadota; Gammaproteobacteria; Enterobacterales; Enterobacteriaceae
Description: partial 23S ribosomal RNA
Rfam family: Bacterial large subunit ribosomal RNA
Source: RNAcentral